Molecule: ribosomal RNA, 397 nt
Filed under: Cutibacterium acnes
Lineage: Bacteria; Bacillati; Actinomycetota; Actinomycetes; Propionibacteriales; Propionibacteriaceae
Description: bacterial SSU rRNA
Rfam family: Bacterial small subunit ribosomal RNA
Source: RNAcentral
GACGAACGCUGGCGGCGUGCUUAACACAUGCAAGUCGAACGGAAAGGCCCUGCUUUUGUGGGGUGCUCGAGUGGCGAACGGGUGAGUAACACGUGAGUAACCUGCCCUUGACUUUGGGAUAACUUCAGGAAACUGGGGCUAAUACCGGAUAGGAGCUCCUGCUGCAUGGUGGGGGUUGGAAAGUUUCGGCGGUUGGGGAUGGACUCGCGGCUUAUCAGCUUGUUGGUGGGGUAGUGGCUUACCAAGGCUUUGACGGGUAGCCGGCCUGAGAGGGUGACCGGCCACAUUGGGACUGAGAUACGGCCCAGACUCCUACGGGAGGCAGCAGUGGGGAAUAUUGCACAAUGGGCGGAAGCCUGAUGCAACAACGCCGCGUGCGGGAUGACGGCCCUUUCGG